Chenopodium quinoa (quinoa) is the source of this 847-nucleotide long non-coding RNA. RefSeq lists it as uncharacterized. NCBI's taxonomy places the organism in Eukaryota, Viridiplantae, Streptophyta, Magnoliopsida, Caryophyllales, Amaranthaceae. The transcript is spliced from 2 exons. The record is from RefSeq and is a predicted model, not a curated record.
AAAAUUGAAAAACCAGUACUUAUGUUAGGAUAGACAUCCUUAUAUUUUGUUCAAACUUACUUUGCUGAUUGAUCAGCUGCAGUUGAAAUAUUUUGUUGUUUCAGAAGUAGAGUUGGUUGUUUGGAUUAAUAUGGUACUUAGAUUGCUAACAAUUUUAUUUUCAUAAUAAAAGAAAGAUGAACUAAACGCGUUGUUCACUUAUUUGGAUGCAGAUUUGCUGCUUAUGAUUAUGUGAUUAUCUGUUCAAGCGCUUAUGGUACUGCAAUAUGGUGUAGAUUGCUUCGUUUCUUUCGCAGCGGGUGCAUCACAAAGCAACCUUCCAUUACAUAUAUUUGGAACCGGGAUCACGACACUGAUACAUACUUUAUAUCAGAGUUGAUUGGGUAUAAUACAGAAGCUUUCUUGAUUAAAUGGUCUCGGAAUCAUGGAUAUUCAUUCAUACUUCCUCCUGACCCAUACAUGCAUAAUCUUCGCAAGGGAUAAUCCGAGGAGUAUCUUUCCAAGUAUCUAAUCAAAUAAAGAGAUAACUUCCGUUUGUCGGUUAAACCGACCUCAAUUACCAGAAUAUGAGUUUCAGUCCAACCUAACGGUUGCAAGUUAUUUUGUGGAAUGGGUCACUUUGUUUUAAGUCGGGUUAGUUUUUAACAUUUAAUUGUGUACAUAAUUUUUAAGUAGAUUGUAGAUCAUUUGAAUUACGUUUUGGAUUUGAUAAGCUUCUCAUGAAGCCAUGAAAGUGGACAAAAUAUGAGAGUGAUAUCUCAUGGACCAAGGCCUAGAAUUGCUAGAAGCGAUCAAGCAGUAACAGCCAAUUUUAGUAACCAGUGUACAAGAUGCUAAUUUGUUACUA